Molecule: ribosomal RNA, 496 nt
Filed under: uncultured bacterium
Lineage: Bacteria
Description: partial 16S ribosomal RNA
Rfam family: Bacterial small subunit ribosomal RNA
Source: RNAcentral
AUGAACGCUGGCGGCGUGCCUAAUACAUGCAAGUCGAGCGAACGGACGAGAAGCUUGCUUCUCUGAUGUUAGCGGCGGACGGGUGAGUAACACGUGGAUAACCUACCUAUAAGACUGGGAUAACUUCGGGAAACCGGAGCUAAUACCGGAUGAUAUUUUGAACCGCAUGGUUCAAAGGUGAAAGACGGUCUUGCUGUCACUUAUAGAUGGAUCCGCGCUGCAUUAGCUAGUUGGUAAGGUAACGGCUUACCAAGGCAACGAUGCAUAGCCGACCUGAGAGGGUGAUCGGCCACACUGGAACUGAGACACGGUCCAGACUCCUACGGGAGGCAGCAGUAGGGAAUCUUCCGCAAUGGGCGAAAGCCUGACGGAGCAACGCCGCGUGAGUGAUGAAGGUCUUCGGAUCGUAAAACUCUGUUAUUAGGGAAGAACAUAUGUGUAAGUAACUGUGCACAUCUUGACGGUACCUAAUCAGAAAGCCACGGCUAACUACGUG